Molecule: ribosomal RNA, 254 nt
Filed under: uncultured bacterium
Lineage: Bacteria
Description: partial 16S ribosomal RNA
Rfam family: Bacterial small subunit ribosomal RNA
Source: RNAcentral
UACGGGGGGAGCAAGCGUUGUUCGGAUUUACUGGGCGUAAAGGGCGCGUAGGCGGCCACCGCAAGUCGGUUGUGAAAUCUCCGGGCUUAACCCGGAAAGGUCAGCCGAUACUGCGGGGCUAGAGUGCAGAAGGGGCAACUGGAAUUCUCGGUGUAGCGGUGAAAUGCGUAGAUAUCGAGAGGAACACCUGCGGCGAAGGCGGGUUGCUGGGCUGACACUGACGCUGAGGCGCGAAAGCUAGGGGAGCGAACGGG